This is a long non-coding RNA of Peromyscus maniculatus bairdii (prairie deer mouse), 1166 nucleotides long. RefSeq lists it as uncharacterized. NCBI's taxonomy places the organism in Eukaryota, Metazoa, Chordata, Mammalia, Rodentia, Cricetidae. The record is from RefSeq and is a predicted model, not a curated record.
GGCCGCUCGACCCCGGGUUGACGGGAGGCGGCGGCCGUCGAGGGUCGCGGCCCCGCCCGCCCUGCCUUUGAGGCCCUCAGUCCCCUCACCAGUCGCCGGAGGGCCGCUCCGAGCCGCGUUCACUUCAACGCGCUGCGGACGGUGCUGGGCUCGGAGGUCACCCCUUCGCUGUCGCUGGUUGCUGGUGCAACGAUCCCGCGCAAGCGCACUAUUGACCUGACCGGGCUGAGUUGGAAGUUCACGUAGAGUGCGGACCUGGCGAUAGGGUCACCUGCUAUGCUCAACUAACCUGCCUCCCCUUUUGGAUGUCCACACGUGGGCCGCUUCCUGCCACUCAGAGGAAAGAGCGCCAUUCCCAGGGCCACCUGGAGACGGGUCAGGGCCCGAGUAGGUUACCUGAGGGAGGCCGAUCGCCCCAAUCCGCUCCCAAGGUAGUGUCUUCCUAUACGGUGAGGCCAGACCGGAUGUCCACUAUCUUGAUUAAUCUUCCCCACAGAUGAAUGGCAUGCCCAAGAGCACUAACAGGGACAGCGGUACUCCUGUUCUGCUGGCCAGCUGCCUCAGGUUGAGACUAGGGUGAGUGGAGAAGGCUCCCAACACUGCAGAGCAAGGGCGUCCAACCCGCGAAUGCACGGGACGCCUAGGAACGCGGCUCAAUCCCAAAACGUAAACCUGCUGGGGAAUUAGCUCAGUUGGCAGACUAGCCAAGGCCGGGAGUUUAUUUACCAGCACCACAUAAAACAGAUUGGUGGUACGCAGACUUGAAAAUCCAAGCACACCAAAAGUGGACGCAGGAGGAUCAGAAUUCAGUCAUCCCUUGCCUCCGCAAUUCCUAGCCAGUAGACUACCUGACACUGUGUGAUGGUUAGUUUUGUCAGUUCGGUAGGAUGUAACAUCACCUGAGAAGACAGUCUCAACUAGGAAUUACAUGGAUUGGGUUGACCUGUGGGCAAACCUGUGAGACAUUUUCACCAUUUCAUGGAUUGGGUUCUGCACUGUACAAGUGUUGAGAGGCGACUUAGAGAAAGCAAGAGGCAUAUCCAUUCACUUUGUUCAUGGCUGGAUGUAGGUUAACUAGCUGCCUUAAGUUCCUGCUGCUGUGACUCCUCCGCAAUAGCAGACUAUAACCUAGAGUUGUAUGCUAAAAUAAAAUCUUGCUCCGCUUA